This 310-nucleotide long non-coding RNA is filed under the name Chloebia gouldiae (Gouldian finch). Its description in RNAcentral is "Erythrura gouldiae (Gouldian finch) lncRNA (ENSEGOG00005014088.1)". Lineage: Eukaryota; Metazoa; Chordata; Aves; Passeriformes; Passeridae. The record is from RNAcentral.
CGGCGGGCCGCGACCGGCCUGAGCGCUGCUCGCGGCCGGGGGACGCCCGUCCGCUGGCCCCCAGGAGCCGGGCCCUGCCCGCUCGGCGGGGCUCCUUGCGGCAGCUGGAGGGUGUGCUUGUAAGCCAGGCAUUGUUGACUUUGCUCUGUGUGUUGGCUUCUGAACAAAGGCGCUGCUGAAAAGAUAUCAGCAGAAUGUUCCAGAGAUCCAAAUGUUACUAAUGGCAGCCUUCAAGUGAUGUGAGUUCUGCUCAAAGUAUGUUAAGCAUUUAUUUGAUAGUUAAGCAGUUAAACUCUUUGACAUUGGUUCA